UCACUGAAGAAUUAUGCCACU
RNAcentral lists this microRNA (21 nucleotides) under Picea abies (Norway spruce). Its description in RNAcentral is "pab-miR11508". The record is from miRBase by way of RNAcentral. Lineage: Eukaryota; Viridiplantae; Streptophyta; Pinopsida; Pinales; Pinaceae.